RNAcentral lists this long non-coding RNA (718 nucleotides) under Cyanistes caeruleus (blue tit). RNAcentral's name for it is "lncRNA (ENSCCEG00000008177.1)". The record is from RNAcentral. Lineage: Eukaryota; Metazoa; Chordata; Aves; Passeriformes; Paridae.
CCAAACGCCAUCAGUCUCACACACUCCUGUCAGGAAAAUGAGUUCCAAAACAAUCAAAAUCAUGACCUCAUAGUGGCAUUUGGGCUGGUUCUUGCCAGCCCAAUGCUGGUGAGACAAUCCUUUUGUUAAGAGGUCAGGCAGCGCUCUGCAGUCCCAAGGUGUGUCACAAAGCUUGGACAGGCAGGAUUCAGCUGGGGGAGAAGUGGAUCAGGCCCCUGCAGCCUUGGCACAAAGUCCAACUCUCGUGUUUUGAGAGAGAUUUUCUCCAAGAUUCAGGGAAGGCAGCUGGAUGCCCAAGCAGGAGAAAUUUGGGCAGCAAGUCAAUUAAAGAAAGUAUAAAGGUCCCUGUAUUGGUAGAGCUCCAGCUUGUGCACUCAUGUGGACACAUCUGUUUGCCACAGUCCUGCAGCAUUCCACAUCUGGGGCUAAAAGCUGGACCUGUUGUGAAGAUCAGAGCUCUGGGCAUCUCCAGGAGCACCUACAGGCCAGAUGGACCUAAUUCCCUGGCUGGAAUCCAGAAUGGAGGGGUGAAUCCUCUGAACCCCUGGCAAGAGUCCCACUGCUUCUAGUAAGGUCACACUCUGCUCUUUGCUCCAGCAGAGGUUUUGGGAGAUCCUUCCAUGCAGGAUUUUUUUUUUCUGAAUGAAACUAAGUUGAGAGAGUACUGACUUGUUGAAAUUAAAAUAAAGACAUCAGCAAUGAAAAAAGUUAAAAAAAU